CUGAAAUCAGAAUGGGACUACCC
RNAcentral lists this ribosomal RNA (23 nucleotides) under Cunninghamella blakesleeana. RNAcentral's name for it is "partial 28S ribosomal RNA". The record is from RNAcentral. Lineage: Eukaryota; Fungi; Mucoromycota; Mucoromycetes; Mucorales; Cunninghamellaceae.